UUAAGCGACUAAGCGUACACGGUGGAUGCCCUGGCAGUCAGAGGCGAUGAAGGACGUGCUAAUCUGCGAUAAGCGUCGGUAAGGUGAUAUGAACCGUUAUAACCGGCGAUUUCCGAAUGGGGAAACCCAGUGUGUUUCGACACACUAUCAUUAACUGAAUCCAUAGGUUAAUGAGGCGAACCGGGGGAACUGAAACAUCUAAGUACCCCGAGGAAAAGAAAUCAACCGAGAUUCCCCCAGUAGCGGCGAGCGAACGGGGAGCAGCCCAGAGCCUGAAUCAGUGUGUGUGUUAGUGGAAGCGUCUGGAAAGGCGCGCGAUACAGGGUGACAGCCCCGUACACAAAAAUGCACAUACUGUGAGCUCGAUGAGUAGGGCGGGACACGUGGUAUCCUGUCUGAAUAUGGGGGGACCAUCCUCCAAGGCUAAAUACUCCUGACUGACCGAUAGUGAACCAGUACCGUGAGGGAAAGGCGAAAAGAACCCCGGCGAGGGGAGUGAAAAAGAACCUGAAACCGUGUACGUACAAGCAGUGGGAGCACGCUUCGGCGUGUGACUGCGUACCUUUUGUAUAAUGGGUCAGCGACUUAUAUUCUGUAGCAAGGUUAACCGAAUAGGGGAGCCGAAGGGAAACCGAGUCUUAACUGGGCGUUAAGUUGCAGGGUAUAGACCCGAAACCCGGUGAUCUAGCCAUGGGCAGGUUGAAGGUUGGGUAACACUAACUGGAGGACCGAACCGACUAAUGUUGAAAAAUUAGCGGAUGACUUGUGGCUGGGGGUGAAAGGCCAAUCAAACCGGGAGAUAGCUGGUUCUCCCCGAAAGCUAUUUAGGUAGCGCCUCGUGAAUUCAUCUCCGGGGGUAGAGCACUGUUUCGGCAAGGGGGUCAUCCCGACUUACCAACCCGAUGCAAACUGCGAAUACCGGAGAAUGUUAUCACGGGAGACACACGGCGGGUGCUAACGUCCGUCGUGAAGAGGGAAACAACCCAGACCGCCAGCUAAGGUCCCAAAGUCAUGGUUAAGUGGGAAACGAUGUGGGAAGGCCCAGACAGCCAGGAUGUUGGCUUAGAAGCAGCCAUCAUUUAAAGAAAGCGUAAUAGCUCACUGGUCGAGUCGGCCUGCGCGGAAGAUGUAACGGGGCUAAACCAUGCACCGAAGCUGCGGCAGCGACACUAUGUGUUGUUGGGUAGGGGAGCGUUCUGUAAGCCUGUGAAGGUGUGCUGUGAGGCAUGCUGGAGGUAUCAGAAGUGCGAAUGCUGACAUAAGUAACGAUAAAGCGGGUGAAAAGCCCGCUCGCCGGAAGACCAAGGGUUCCUGUCCAACGUUAAUCGGGGCAGGGUGAGUCGACCCCUAAGGCGAGGCCGAAAGGCGUAGUCGAUGGGAAACAGGUUAAUAUUCCUGUACUUGGUGUUACUGCGAAGGGGGGACGGAGAAGGCUAUGUUGGCCGGGCGACGGUUGUCCCGGUUUAAGCGUGUAGGCUGGUUUUCCAGGCAAAUCCGGAAAAUCAAGGCUGAGGCGUGAUGACGAGGCACUACGGUGCUGAAGCAACAAAUGCCCUGCUUCCAGGAAAAGCCUCUAAGCAUCAGGUAACAUUAAAUCGUACCCCAAACCGACACAGGUGGUCAGGUAGAGAAUACCAAGGCGCUUGAGAGAACUCGGGUGAAGGAACUAGGCAAAAUGGUGCCGUAACUUCGGGAGAAGGCACGCUGAUAUGUAGGUGAAGUCCCUCGCGGAUGGAGCUGAAAUCAGUCGAAGAUACCAGCUGGCUGCAACUGUUUAUUAAAAACACAGCACUGUGCAAACACGAAAGUGGACGUAUACGGUGUGACGCCUGCCCGGUGCCGGAAGGUUAAUUGAUGGGGUUAGCGGUAACGCGAAGCUCUUGAUCGAAGCCCCGGUAAACGGCGGCCGUAACUAUAACGGUCCUAAGGUAGCGAAAUUCCUUGUCGGGUAAGUUCCGACCUGCACGAAUGGCGUAAUGAUGGCCAGGCUGUCUCCACCCGAGACUCAGUGAAAUUGAACUCGCUGUGAAGAUGCAGUGUACCCGCGGCAAGACGGAAAGACCCCGUGAACCUUUACUAUAGCUUGACACUGAACAUUGAGCCUUGAUGUGUAGGAUAGGUGGGAGGCUUUGAAGUGUGGACGCCAGUCUGCAUGGAGCCGACCUUGAAAUACCACCCUUUAAUGUUUGAUGUUCUAACGUUGACCCGU
RNAcentral lists this ribosomal RNA (2209 nucleotides) under Escherichia coli. Its description in RNAcentral is "bacterial LSU rRNA". It matches the Rfam family "Bacterial large subunit ribosomal RNA", at positions 1 to 2236 of the family's 2925-position model. Lineage: Bacteria; Pseudomonadati; Pseudomonadota; Gammaproteobacteria; Enterobacterales; Enterobacteriaceae. The record is from RNAcentral.